UGCAAAAAGAAUGUCGCUCAACGA
This 24-nucleotide non-coding RNA is filed under the name Drosophila erecta. The record is from RNAcentral. RNAcentral also lists the same sequence under 1 other name. Lineage: Eukaryota; Metazoa; Arthropoda; Insecta; Diptera; Drosophilidae.